AGAGUUUGAUUAUGGCUCAGAGCGAACGCUGGCGGCAGGCUUAACAGAUGCAAGUCGAGCGGGCGUAGCACUACGUCAGCGGCAGACGGGUCGAGUAACGCGUGGGAACGUACCUUUUGGUUCGGAACAACACAGGGAAACUUGUGCUAGUACCGGAUAAGCCCUUACGGGGAAAGAUUUAUCGCCGAAAGAUCGGCCCGCGUCUGAUUAGCUAGUUGGUAGGGUAACGGCCUACCAAGGCGACGAUCAGUAGCUGGUCUGAGAGGAUGAUCACCACAUUGGGACUGACAACGGCCCAAACUCCUACGGGAGGCAGCUGUGGGGAAUAUUGGACAAUGGGGGCAACCCUGAUCCAGCCAUGCCGCGUGAGUAAUGAAGGUCCUAGGGUUGUAAGAUCUUUUGUGCGGGAAGAUAAUGACGGUGCCGUAAAAAUUAGCCCCGGCUAACUUCCUGCCAGCAUCCGCGGGAGUACAGAACGGGGCUAGCGUUGCUCGUAAUCACUGGGCGUGAAGGGUGCGUACGCGGGUCUUUAAGUCAGGGGUGAAAUCCUGGAGCUCAACUCCUGAACUGCGUUUGAUACUGAAGAUCUCGAGUCCGGGACAGGUGAGUGGAACUGCUAGUGUACAGGUGAAAUUCGUAGAUGUUCGCAAGAACUCCAGUGGCGAACGCGGCUCACUGGCUCGGUACUGAUCCUCAGGUACGAUAGCAUGAGGAGCUAACAGGACUAGAUACUCUGGUAGUCCACGCCGUAGACUAUGAAUGCCAGCCGAUAGUGGGUCUACCCACUAGUGGCGCAGCUCACACUUUUAACAAUCCGUCUGGCGAGUACGGUCGCAAGAUCAACACUCAUAUGAAUUGACGGGG
RNAcentral lists this ribosomal RNA (864 nucleotides) under uncultured Alphaproteobacteria bacterium. RNAcentral's name for it is "bacterial SSU rRNA". It matches the Rfam family "Bacterial small subunit ribosomal RNA", at positions 8 to 918 of the family's 1533-position model. The record is from RNAcentral. Lineage: Bacteria; Pseudomonadati; Pseudomonadota; Alphaproteobacteria.